GUCCACACCGUAAACGAUGAUUACUCGCUGUUAUGGUGUAUGCUGUAGCGGCCAAGCGAAAGCGUUAAGUAAUCCACCUGGGAGUACGCCGGCAACGGUGAAACUCAAAGGAAUUGACGGGGUCCGCACAAGCGGUGGAGCAUGUGGUUUAAUUCGAUGAUACGCGAGGAACCUUACCUGGGCUAGAAUGUGAAGGAAUGAUUUAGAGAUAGAUCAGUCAGCAAUGACCUGAAACAAGGUGCUGCAUGGCUGUCGU
RNAcentral lists this ribosomal RNA (256 nucleotides) under uncultured bacterium. RNAcentral's name for it is "partial 16S ribosomal RNA". It matches the Rfam family "Bacterial small subunit ribosomal RNA", at positions 793 to 1055 of the family's 1533-position model. The record is from RNAcentral.